UUAUGACCCUGGCGGCACUGCUUAACACAUGCAAGUCGAGCGGGGGAAGGUACCCUUCGCGUACCUGACCUAGCGGCGGACGGGUGAGUAAUGCUUAGGAAUCUGCCUAUUAGUGGGGGACAACGUUCCGAAAGGAACGCUAAUACCGCAUACGUCCUACGGGGGAAAGCAGGGGAUCUUCGGACCUUGCGCUAAUAGAUGAGCCUAAGUCGGAUUAGCUAGUUGGUGGGGUAAAGGCCUACCAAGGCGACGAUCUGUAGCGGGUCUGAGAGGAUGAUCCGCCACACUGGGACUGAGACACGGCCCAGACUCCUACGGGAGGCAGCAGUGGGGAAUAUUGGACAAUGGGCGCAAGCCUGAUCCAGCCAUGCCGCGUGUGUGAAGAAGGCCUUUUGGUUGUAAAGCACUUUAAGCGAGGAGGAGGCUCCUUUAGUUAAUACCUAAAGUGAGUGGACGUUACUCGCAUAAUAGCCCGGCUACUUUGUGCCUCACCCCGGUAUCAGAGGUCUACCGUAUCGAUUCUGGCGUAAG
RNAcentral lists this ribosomal RNA (531 nucleotides) under Acinetobacter sp. IST 103. RNAcentral's name for it is "bacterial SSU rRNA". It matches the Rfam family "Bacterial small subunit ribosomal RNA", at positions 38 to 536 of the family's 1533-position model. Lineage: Bacteria; Pseudomonadati; Pseudomonadota; Gammaproteobacteria; Moraxellales; Moraxellaceae. The record is from RNAcentral.